GCAUCUUGGAGUCAAGGGACCUGCGCCUAGAAAAGCGCACCUUGUUUCGGCUGGAUCUUGUUCCGAUUAACCGGUCAGUGGGACUCAAGGCCAAGCCCACCAAGCCCGUCACGGAGGUGCUGCGGCCCGUGGUGGCCAAAUACGGCCUGGACCUCAGUGGCCUGCUGGUGAGGCUG
This 176-nucleotide small RNA is filed under the name Pan troglodytes (chimpanzee). Its description in RNAcentral is "processed transcript". Lineage: Eukaryota; Metazoa; Chordata; Mammalia; Primates; Hominidae. The record is from RNAcentral.